ACGAGGAUUCGCUUCCUGAUCAUCAUUGAGUAAACAUCUAUUUCGAAACGCUCGUGAAAUCCUACGAAGAUAAAUUUCUGAAGAAAAAACAUAACCAAAGAAAUUCACAAUUGAGGGAGAAGAAAAGAAGCUAAAAUUAAUUAAGAAGAGUACGAUAACCAACCUGGGAAAGAAGACAUCGGAAUAGUUUUUCCGGAAAGCCACCAAGGGGGUACCAGCACAUUCCACCAAGGGG
Onthophagus taurus is the source of this 235-nucleotide non-coding RNA. NCBI's taxonomy places the organism in Eukaryota, Metazoa, Arthropoda, Insecta, Coleoptera, Scarabaeidae. The record is from RefSeq and is a predicted model, not a curated record.